This is a non-coding RNA of Lactuca sativa (garden lettuce), 3365 nucleotides long. NCBI's taxonomy places the organism in Eukaryota, Viridiplantae, Streptophyta, Magnoliopsida, Asterales, Asteraceae. The record is from RefSeq and is a predicted model, not a curated record.
AGUUCCUACCACUUGAUCGAUUUUUGGUUGCUACGUGUUUCGCGUCUAUUCUCUUCACCGUUUUCCCACCCAAUCACUUUUGUAUUGCUGGCCUUUUUUUUUUUCCAUGUGCACCUCUAGUCGCUUCCAAUCAAAUGUACUCAUCUUUAACCGCCUCAAUCAGUUUUAAUCUACAGUUUCCCUAAAUUCCUUUGAUCCUUCCUCCAAUCAGUCAGUGCAUCUUUUCUUUUUGUUCCAGAUCCCUCCACCGCUUAAUACACGACGAUUCUUCCCACUUUUCUUCUUCGUCUCAAGCUUCAUAGAUUCGGGGUCGCCACCGCCGACGAUUCAUGCAUUCUACAUCUCUCGAUGUUUUCCAGACGGAAUCAGUCUGUCACAUGCGAGCCCUCCAAAAUCAACAACAUCCUUGGACACUGAACCCAACCAUUGAGGUUUCACCAUCACUGCCAUCCAACGUUUAAAAUCCUUCAUAGGAGGGAGAACGAGGCAAAAAGGUCAAAGUCGGAUGGAAUCCACAGUCAACCGCUGUUUCUAUUUUGUGUUUUCUUAUAUAUUCCAUAUUUUCCACUUUUCGAUGGGUUUCACUGCAAUUCUUUUUCUACUGUUCUUAUCGGAUUUGAUAGCCCUAAUAAUCACUCUUUAUCUCGGCUCGACGGGUAAUUUAUAUAUAUACGGUUAAAAAUAACUCUGAUUUGCUUCUAAUCCCAUCUCUACUCCGGUUUCCGUCGAUUGGAGACGAAUGAUUCUGGUUGUGGUUUUGCAGGCGGUAUCUGUUUUAAAACAUUAUCCAAAUCUUGAGAAGAUAUCUUUUGUCGGUCACUCACAACACUUAGGAGAUGUUGUUUAAAGAUGUUAGAUGAGAUGGAUGACUCUUCCCGUUAUUGCUUGCUUCUGUUGUGUUUAUCGACGUUCACCCAAUCUCCAUGUCGGUUUAAGCUCUACAUCAUCGUCAAUUUGCGAUUUACAGGAAAAUUAACAAUUUUGUGAAGACGGGAAGCCUUCCUACAUAAGCCAUCUUAUGAAAGAGUAAAAUCAGAAUACUUAGUUUGCUAUUAUAUCAUACACACCGUUUAUGUAAUCUACGAUCACCAUUGGCACAUAAAUCAUGUGUUAGUUCGGUAUGCAACUCUAUAAACAACAAAGUUCGGUUUAAACUUUCCAAGGUUGUGAAUCUCUUUCAUGUUAAACGAUCUCAUUGAUGUAAUCGCAUAUCCACACGACAUAUCAUUUAUUUCCAUUUUUCAUAUCUGUAGAUCAUGUGAUCCUUAGAUUUGAUUCUAGAACUUUUACGAAUUUGAUUUUUUAUUGGGCAGAAUUCAAAAUUAGAUUACAUAUCAAUUGUGUUGUGAUGAAGAAGCAAGGUCUCAGGCCAAGUUCAUUCCAAUGAAAUUCCAAUGGGAAGGGGCAAUUUGGUAAUUUGGUAGAAGGGUAUGAUUGGUAAGAGAAGAAGAUGGCUAAAAAAGAUCAUGAAAUGAGGAGUGUGACCAGUAUUCAAGCUGAGGCUCUUUAUGAACCAAUAGUUUAUUUAAUGAAGCGUUCUUUAGUUUGUUUAGGACUUAUUUACAAACAAAGAGAUUCAUCACCUGAGAGUUGAAGAUAUAUGAAUUGCUUAUAGGAUAAAAUUUCAAUCAAUUUGCCUUGGUUAAUAAACUUCCACGAAUUGUGGAAGCUUUAGCUAUACAGACAGUAACAUGGGAGAAUGAUAGAGGUGUUGAAUUAACUUAUGAUAUGGUAAGAUUGUAAUUUCCUAUUUAGAUUUUUUUUUUCUUUUUGCAAGAAGAGCUGAAAAAGGCUGGCUUUAAAACUAUAGCUCUUACAGUUGAUACAUCAGGGCUUGGACGCCGAGAAGCUAACAUCAAAAACAGGUUUACCAAAAUUACUAUUUUGCCAUUCUCUUUAAAAUAAAGUAAAUGUAUAUUCAUAAUAAAGGUUUCCAUAUUUUUUAUAAGUUAAUGUUGAGAUACUAUAAUCAUAAUCAAUUAUAUUUGUAAAUCUGACUCAUUUCGACAUAUUUUUACAAGGUAAAGUAUAUUACUGUUUGUUAUAUUUUCAUAUUUGGAUAGUAAAUGCAUUAAUUAGUAACAUACUUUGAAUUUAAAGCUCUUGGUUUUUGUUUUUUGCAAUUCGUUUUGGACUCUUUUACCAAAAACCAAAAUACAUUUAACAAAAACCAAAUGCACUAAAAGGAAUGUACUGUGGGCUUAUUUGUUUAUUAUACCAUCCUACUUUCAUUUUUCCUUGCAACAUCAUAUGUUUUUACAAGUACAUUGCAAAUUUUUUUAUCAUGUUUAGAAUCUGUAAAUACAUGGUUGUGAUCAGUGACAAAGUGGGUUAAUUUUUAAAAUUAAUAGUCUUCAUUUUAUUUUUGUGUUAGAUUUCGGUGUUUUCCGGUUAUAUGCUGACUAAGUAUAAUAUUUCUUUACAUAGAAGCAUUGUACCUUUUAUAUUUUGAUUUUUUAAUUUUCAGGGGUUCCAACGAUAAUCACUUGACUGGUUCUCCGAUGGGCGGAACUCAAAGCAAUUUUUACUGUUAUAAUUAGAUUAUAAUUUGAUUUCUCAACCCAUGAUGACAACAUACUUUAAUUUCUUACCGCUAAUAGCAAUAUGGAUGAGUGAUUGAGCGAUCAGCCAUUCGAAGUGUCAUCCUUGUGUUUUGGCUUUGAUAAAGCGAGUUUCUCGUAAAAAUAAUAUCACAUUAAAUUGAUAUUAUCCCCCGAAUUGGCUAAAGCAUUUAUUAAAAUAAAGUUGCCAAAGUUAACCGGCCCAAAUCUGUCAUUUUAAUUGGCAACCCAUCAAUGAUUGCAGCAGAACACAACUCAUGUAGCACGAUGGUAGAUGCUUUCUCCAAUUAUUUUCGCUUCGUCAUCACAUACUUGACAAAUUUAGGAAGCUUAUCCAUGGAUUGGAGGAAUAGAGUGUUAAUCGAGAUGUAAAACACUUGUUCCAUGAAUUUCUUCUGGUCCAACUCCAAAGAAUUCUCGAGGGCUCGAGAUGAAUAUGGCAGAGGAAGCUGGUAUGGUUUUAAAAAAGAAGGAUUUUCAUUCUUCAUGCGCCACGACAUGCCCGAGUGGUCGCCACGUCGUGGGUACUUGGCAGAAGAUUUUUCUUUUUCUGUUUCAGGUUUCUCUUUUUCCAUAUGUGGAUCGGGCUGUUUGGUAUCAGUAUCAUAAAUCAUUAAUGGCUCAGAACUACCCUAUAUUAGUAGAACAUAACAUAUCUCCAUAUAUAUUUGUAUUUAUUGUAAAUUGAUUAUGAUUAGCAAUUUCCUAGAAUAUCUCUUUGUAUAUCCCUAUAAUCUCUCCUAUUCCUGCUGUAUAUAUUGAGGGCUCCUCAUAUCAAUAAGAUCAUCAAGAUUCAUAGGUUCA